RNAcentral lists this ribosomal RNA (430 nucleotides) under Pseudomonadota bacterium. RNAcentral describes it as "Proteobacteria bacterium partial 16S ribosomal RNA". It matches the Rfam family "Bacterial small subunit ribosomal RNA", at positions 355 to 776 of the family's 1533-position model. Lineage: Bacteria; Pseudomonadati; Pseudomonadota. The record is from RNAcentral.
UGGGGAAUAUUGGACAAUGGGGGGAACCCUGAACCAGCCAUGCCGCGUGUGUGAAGAAGGCCUUAUGGUUGUAAAGCACUUUAAGCGAGGAGGAGGGUACUGGUAUUAAUACUACCAGGUACUGGACGUUACUCGCAGAAUAAGCACCGGCUAACUCUGUGCCAGCAGCCGCGGUAAUACAGAGGGUGAGAGCGUUAAUCGGAUUUACUGGGCGUAAAGCGUGCGUAGGCGGCUAAUUGAGUCGGAUGUGAAAUCCCCUGGCUUUACUUGGGAAUUUCAUUCGCUACUGGUUAGCUAGCGUGUGGGAGCUGAUGGUAGAAUUCCUGGUGUAGCUGUGAAAUGCGUAGAGAUCUGGAGGAAUACCGAUGGCGAAGGCAGCCAUCUGGCCUAACGCUGACUCUGAGGUACGAACGCAUGGGGAGCAAACAGG